AGCAGUGGCAGUAAGCAGGAUGGGAGUGUGCCUCUUAGAGCAGCCAGUGCUGCUGAAGUAACAAAACAACACAACAGGCUGCUAAAAUAGAAGCAAUGUUAGAGAUUUGUGGUUAAAUUUCUGUUUGUUUGGUGUUUUAUUUCCCCCCCCUGCAGGGUGAGUGAGAACUGCAGAAGAGUUUCUUGCCAGCUCAAACUAGUGAGCAGCUGUCGUGGUCAUGGGCCCCAAGGAGGUGAAUGUCAGGGACUGGAAGGGACCUUGAAAGAUCAUCUUGUCCAAUCCCCAUGCUGGAGCAAGAACAUCUAGAAAUGUACCCAGAUACUGAAAGGUCACUAUCAGGCCACCUCUGAGCCUUCUCUUCUCCAGCCUCAACAGCCCCAGCUCCUUCAGCCUAUCCUCAUAGGAGAGGUGCUCCAUCCCUUGGAUUGUUCCUGGGCCCCCCCCUCUGGAUGAACUUCAACAGGUGCAUGUCUCUCCCCUACUCUGGACUCUGCAUUUGGACACAGAACUCCAAGUGAGGUCUCACUGGCACAAAGCAGAGGGUCAGGAUCACCUUCCUUGACCUGCUGGUCCUACUUGUUUGGAUGCAGCCCAGGAUGUGGUUGCCUUUCUGGGCUGUGAAGGCACAUUGCUGGCUCACAUUCAGCUUGCUGUGCAGAGGUACCCCCAAAGCCUUUUCCGUGGGGCUGUGCUCAAUCCUUUUUCCGUCCAGCAUGUAAUGAUAGUGAAGGUUGGCAUGACCACAGUGCAAAACCUUGUGCUUGACUUUGUUGAACCUCAUGAGGCUCACUGAGUCACACUUCUUGAGUCCGUUUAUGCUGUGAGAUACAGUAGCUGGUCUACUCACCUUUAAAGAGGUUUUCAGCAAAUACAAAAUGUCACAGUUUGUGCUCUUCCUAAGACUGCCUAAAUUACAGGCAAGAAGAACAGGCAUCUCAAAACCCCAGUGCUAUUAUCUGCUGUGCAACACAAGAACAGCUUCAGCUGAAUCUCCAGGGAAUUAUGUCAAGUCAGUUGCUUAAGAUAGGAUAUACUCCCUUAAGCAUAGCAAAGGGUGAUUUAGAAGAAUGAUAUAAUCCUUUUAGAUCUCUUCUUCGUCCUUUUCCUGUGAACUGUCUGGCUUGCAAGGCUCACGAGUAACAAGGGGAAUACAGUCGGGCUUCUUACAUUUUGCAGUGGGACUUCCCAUUGGAAUCAAUAGAGUUCAAAGAAUCUGUCUUAAGACAGACAAUCCAUAGCUUCCGACAGCAAAGACUCUGUGUGUUUGGUAGGAACAAUUUGCUGACAUUUUUCUAACAUCUGGAGUCAAAACGUCACAUCAGAGUGGCAGUUUCUUUGUCCUUACAGCUAAAUGAAUAUAGAAAGAAAACUACAAACUGUUAGGUUGAAGGCAAACAGAUAACAUUUGCUUUCCUCUGAUAAAGUUCCAAAUUAUGUAUUUUAAAAUGCCACCAAAUAAGGUAUGUACAAUUAAAGACAGAUCCAGGAUGACACAUACAGCUUUCUUCUCUUGCAGUGUUAAGUGGCAUUUUGUAUAUGCUCGUAUUUUAAAAAGAAUUCUAUUCACAUAAUGAUUAUUCACUUGUCUGAAGUCAGUAAGUGAUGAUGUAAUAAACAGAUUAAUGACUGUUUCCGUGGUAGUUAACAAUGCCAAGCACUUUGAACGUGCUUAUAUUUUGAUUAGAUCAAUGGGGAGAGAAAGAGUCAUUAAAUGGAUAUCAUGUAUUGUUUCUCAUAAUGUGGAACUACAUACAAUGCAGUGCUUAGCUAUCAUUCCUGAUAAGAUGAUCGCAGAUCAAGGCAGGUCACUUUCACUUGAUUAUUCCCAAGACCUGACCAUCAGUAAUAGCUUUCAUAUUUUUAACAAAGAAUAACAUCGCACUGAACAUCGUGCUAGUUUCAGAGCUCAGGCAAUAUUUUUGGACAAUAUCUUUUUCCAAUUGUAUGGGAGUCUUUUUGUUGUUGCUUGGUUCUGUGUAUUUGUUUUUCAUUUCUCUCGUGCGUUAUAAUUAGAAACUAAAAAUGCAACAUUUCUUAUUAUUCUUUGUCUCCCAAAGUAAACUUUUUCAUACACUGAGGAGACCCCGAGAGUUCAUCUUCUAGUCUAAUUUAAUCCUAAAGGAAUCCAAUUCCUGUCAUCUUGACCAAAGCACAAUAACUAGGAUAAAUAAGAGAUUUUCUUCGAAAUUGCACUCCUGCACCAAUCCUACGUAGAAACACGAAUAUGGUUGCAGUAAUACCAGCAAACCGACAGCAAAUUCAGUGAUAAGCUGUUCUUCAAGCAUCUUUCUCUUAAAACCUAACAGUGAACAGAUCUUACCUCUCACUGUAGUAACAUCUGAGAUGCUACUUCCUGUGGGGGCUCUGCUUGUGGCAGGCCCUAAUUUAGCCAGUUCUACUGGCUUGUGGAAAUAUGUCUGUUGCACUAAAUUAUGUAAUUUGCAACAUUAUUUUAGUUUGUCCUGGGUAAAACUUUUGUUGGAAGCUGAUGAAUGUGAGUUAAUUCUCCACAUCCAAAUUUGCGACUUCAAAUAGGAAAUCCUUUUAAGCAUAGUCAAGCAACUUAUAUUCAGUUUUGAAUAGAUGGUAAAGUUAUAAUGAUACAAAAUUAUAUAUAACAAAUUUCAUACAUAGAACACUUACCCUCUAAUGUGUCUAUUUUCUUGAGUGACAUUGUUCUGUAAAUGCAGAAAUGUGGAAUAAAAUGACUGCUAAUUAUGCCUAAUAAAUACUAUAAAAAUCAUC
Long non-coding RNA from Gallus gallus (chicken), 2745 nucleotides. The record is from Ensembl. Lineage: Eukaryota; Metazoa; Chordata; Aves; Galliformes; Phasianidae.